GCGCGCAGGCGGCCUGACAAGUCAGAUGUGAAAGCCCCGGGCUCAACCUGGGAAUAGCAUUUGGGACUGUCGGGCUAGAGAUCGGGAGAGGAAAGUGGAAUUCCUGGUGUAGCGGUGAAAUGCGUAGAUAUCAGGAGGAACACCGGUGGUGUAGACGGCUUUCUGGACCAUAACUGACGCUGAGACACGAAAGCGUGGGUAGCAAACAGGAUUAGAUACCCUGGUAGUCCACGCCCUAAACGAUGCAUAUUUGGUGUGGGUCAUUCAGUUGAUCCGUGCCGGAGCUAACGCGUUAAAUAUGCCGCCUGGGGAGUACAGUCGCAAGGCUGAAACUCAAAGGAAUUGACGGGGGCCCGCACAAGCGGUGGAGCAUGUGGUUCAAUUCGACGCAACGCGAAGAACCUUACCUGGGCUCGAACGGCUUCUCAACGCCGGUAGAAAUACCGGUACCCCGCAAGGGGGUGGAGUCGAGGUGCUGCAUGGCUGUCGUCAGCUCGUGUCGUGAGAUGUUGGGUUAAGUCCCGCAACGAGCGCAACCCUCGCCCUUAGUU
Molecule: ribosomal RNA, 551 nt
Filed under: uncultured bacterium
Lineage: Bacteria
Description: bacterial SSU rRNA
Rfam family: Bacterial small subunit ribosomal RNA
Source: RNAcentral